Molecule: non-coding RNA, 30 nt
Filed under: Mus musculus (house mouse)
Lineage: Eukaryota; Metazoa; Chordata; Mammalia; Rodentia; Muridae
Source: RNAcentral
UGCCAGUUUGUACCCAAGACAUGAUUUCUC